Molecule: ribosomal RNA, 467 nt
Filed under: uncultured bacterium
Lineage: Bacteria
Description: partial 16S ribosomal RNA
Rfam family: Bacterial small subunit ribosomal RNA
Source: RNAcentral
GACGAACGCUGGCGGCGUGCUUAACACAUGCAAGUCGAACGGAAAGGCCCUGCUUUUGUGGGGUGCUCGAGUGGCGAACGGGUGAGUAACACGUGAGUAACCUGCCCUUGACUUUGGGAUAACUUCAGGAAACUGGGGCUAAUACCGGAUAGGAGCUCCUGCUGCAUGGUGGGGGUUGGAAAGUUUCGGCGGUUGGGGAUGGACUCGCGGCUUAUCAGCUUGUUGGUGGGGUAGUGGCUUACCAAGGCUUUGACGGGUAGCCGGCCUGAGAGGGUGACCGGCCACAUUGGGACUGAGAUACGGCCCAGACUCCUACGGGAGGCAGCAGUGGGGAAUAUUGCACAAUGGGCGGAAGCCUGAUGCAGCAACGCCGCGUGCGGGAUGAAGGCCUUCGGGUUGUAAACCGCUUUCGCCUGUGACGAAGCGUGAGUGACGGGAAUGGGUAAAGAAGCACCGGCUAACUACGU